AGCUCCAAUAGCGUAUAUUAAAGUUGCUGCAGUUAAAAAGCUCGUAGUUGCAUUUCCGAGGCAAGGGAUUAGUCCGACCUUUGGUGGGUAUUUAAUCCUCUUGCCUCGUCCUUGAGUGGUGCUUCUUGGUAUUAAGUUAUCGAGGAGAUAGCCGCUCAUCGUUUACUGUGAGAAAAUUAGAGUGUUCAAAGCAGGCUUAUGCCGUUGAAUAUAUUAGCAUGGAAUAAUAAGAUAGGACCUCGGUACUAUUUUGUUGGUUUGAGAACCAAGAUAAUGAUGAAUAGGACAGUUGGGGGUAUUCGUAUUCAGUUGUCAGAGGUGAAAUUCUUAGAUUUACGGAAGACGAACUACUGCGAAAGCAUUUACCAAGGAUGUUUUCA
This 380-nucleotide ribosomal RNA is filed under the name uncultured marine Chaetocerotaceae. RNAcentral's name for it is "SSU rRNA". It matches the Rfam family "Eukaryotic small subunit ribosomal RNA", at positions 587 to 972 of the family's 1831-position model. The record is from RNAcentral. Lineage: Eukaryota; Bacillariophyta; Thalassiosirophyceae; Chaetocerotales; Chaetocerotaceae.